ACUCCUACGGGAGGCAGCAGUGGGGAAUAUUGGACAGUGGGCGAAAGCCUGAUCCAGCAAUGCCGCGUGAGUGAUGAAGGCCUUAGGGUUGUAAAGCUCUUUUACCAGGGAUGAUAAUGAUAGUACCUGGAGAAUAAGCUCCGGCUAACUCCGUGCCAGCAGCCGCGGUAAUACGGAGGGAGCUAGCGUUGUUCGGAAUUACUGGGCGUAAAGCGUGCGUAGGCGGCGAUUCAAGUCAGAGGUGAAAGCCUGGAGCUCAACUCCAGAACUGCCUUUGAAACUAGAUUGCUAGAAUCUGGGAGAGGUGAGUGGAAUUCCGAGUGUAGAGGUGAAAUUCGUAGAUAUUCGGAAGAACACCAGUGGCGAAGGCGGCUCACUGGACCAGUAUUGACGCUGAGGCACGAAAGCGUGGGGAGCAAACAGGAUUAGAUACUCUGGUAGUCCACGCCGUAAACGAUGAUAACUAGCUGCCAGGGUUCAUAGAACUCUGGUGGCGCAGCUAACGCAUUAAGUUAUCCGCCUGGGGAGUACGGUCGCAAGAUUAAAACUCAAAGGAAUUGACGGGGGCCUGCACAAGC
RNAcentral lists this ribosomal RNA (578 nucleotides) under uncultured organism. RNAcentral describes it as "bacterial SSU rRNA". It matches the Rfam family "Bacterial small subunit ribosomal RNA", at positions 335 to 930 of the family's 1533-position model. The record is from RNAcentral.